RNAcentral lists this ribosomal RNA (253 nucleotides) under uncultured bacterium. RNAcentral's name for it is "partial 16S ribosomal RNA". It matches the Rfam family "Bacterial small subunit ribosomal RNA", at positions 524 to 776 of the family's 1533-position model. The record is from RNAcentral.
UACGUAGGUGGCAAGCGUUGUCCGGAAUUAUUGGGCGUAAAGCGCGCGCAGGCGGUCCUUUAAGUCUGAUGUGAAAGCCCACGGCUCAACCGUGGAGGGUCAUUGGAAACUGGGGGACUUGAGUACAGAAGAGAAGAGUGGAAUUCCACGUGUAGCGGUGAAAUGCGUAGAGAUGUGGAGGAACACCAGUGGCGAAGGCGACUCUUUGGUCUGUAACUGACGCUCAGGCACGAAAGCGUGGGGAGCAAACAGG